RNAcentral lists this ribosomal RNA (253 nucleotides) under uncultured bacterium. Its description in RNAcentral is "partial 16S ribosomal RNA". It matches the Rfam family "Bacterial small subunit ribosomal RNA", at positions 524 to 776 of the family's 1533-position model. The record is from RNAcentral.
UACAGAGGGUGCAAGCGUUGUUCGGAAUUAUUGGGCGUAAAGCGCGUGUAGGCGGCUUUGCAAGUCGGGUGUGAAAGCCCUCAGCUCAACUGAGGAAGUGCGCCCGAAACUGCAGAGCUUGAGUACCGGAGAGGAUGGCGGAAUUCCCCAAGUAGAGGUGAAAUUCGUAGAUAUGGGGAGGAACACCGGUGGCGAAGGCGGUCACCUGGACGGAUACUGACGCUGAGACGCGAAAGCGUGGGGAGCAAACAGG